This is a long non-coding RNA of Rosa chinensis, 189 nucleotides long. RefSeq lists it as uncharacterized. The record is from RefSeq and is a predicted model, not a curated record. Lineage: Eukaryota; Viridiplantae; Streptophyta; Magnoliopsida; Rosales; Rosaceae. The transcript has 2 exons.
AGAUAUUUCGUAAGGAGCCAUUCUUCUAUGGACAUGAUAACUACGAUCAGCUAGUGAAACUAGAAAAUCAAUUAGAGUUUAGUUGAUUUCCUGUGAGUGGAAUACUUUAUCAAAGGCCUUAGUUGAUUUCUGAAGGCAUAGCAAUAAGACCAGCUAGUGAACUACUCACAAUUGCAUAAUGCUGACUCA